GACGAACGCUGGCGGCGUGCUUAACACAUGCAAGUCGAACGGAAAGGCCCUGCUUUUGUGGGGUGCUCGAGUGGCGAACGGGUGAGUAACACGUGAGUAACCUGCCCUUGACUUUGGGAUAACUUCAGGAAACUGGGGCUAAUACCGGAUAGGAGCUCCUGAUGCAUGGUGGGGGUUGGAGAGUUUCGGCGGUUGGGGAUGGACUCGCGGCGUAUCAGCUUGUUGGUGGGGUAGUGGCUUACCAAGGCUUUGACGGGUAGCCGGCCUGAGAGGGUGACCGGCGACAUUGGGACUGAGAUACGGCCCAGACUCCUACGGGAGGCAGCAGUGGGGAAUAUUGCGCAAUGGGCGGAAGCCUGAUGCAGCAACGCCGCGUGCGGGAUGACGGCCUUCGGGUUGUAAACCGCUUUCGCCUGUGACGAAGCGUGAGUGACGGUAAUGGGUAAAGAAGCACCGGCUAACUACGUG
This 468-nucleotide ribosomal RNA is filed under the name uncultured bacterium. Its description in RNAcentral is "partial 16S ribosomal RNA". It matches the Rfam family "Bacterial small subunit ribosomal RNA", at positions 28 to 507 of the family's 1533-position model. The record is from RNAcentral.